GACGAACGCUGGCGGCGUGCUUAACACAUGCAAGUCGAACGGAAAGGCCCCCUUGUGGGGUACUCGAGUGGCGAACGGGUGAGUAACACGUGAGUAACCUACCCUUGACUUUGGGAUAACUUCAGGAAACUGGGGCUAAUACCGGAUAGGAGCUCCUGCUGCAUGGUGGGGGUUGGAAAGUUUCGGCGGUUGGGGAUGGACUCGCGGCUUAUCAGCUUGUUGGUGGGGUAGUGGCUCACCAAGGCUUUGACGGGUAGCCGGCCUGAGAGGGUGACCGGCCACAUUGGGACUGAGAUACGGCCCAGACUCCUACGGGAGGCAGCAGUGGGGAAUAUUGCCCAAUGGGCGGAAGCCUUAUGCAGCAACGCCGCGUGCGGGAUGACGGCCUUCGGGUUGUAAACCGCUUUCGCCUGUGACGAAGCGUGAGUGACGGUAAUGGGUAAAGAAGCACCGGCUAACUACGUG
This 465-nucleotide ribosomal RNA is filed under the name uncultured bacterium. RNAcentral describes it as "partial 16S ribosomal RNA". It matches the Rfam family "Bacterial small subunit ribosomal RNA", at positions 28 to 507 of the family's 1533-position model. The record is from RNAcentral.